UCAACUACAUCAACAGGUUGGAGGUGCAGGCUGAUGUUCAGAAGGAGAGGUGUAGUCUCAGUGGAGAGUCAGCCACCUUCAGCUUGGGGACCAUCAGUGACAACGCUAGCACCAAAGCAAUGGCUGGAUCUAUUCUCCACUACAGAGAUGGGACCAGUAUGGAGGUGCAGGUGGACAUAGG
Molecule: long non-coding RNA, 181 nt
Organism: Coregonus clupeaformis (lake whitefish)
Lineage: Eukaryota; Metazoa; Chordata; Actinopteri; Salmoniformes; Salmonidae
Exons: 3
Source: RefSeq, a predicted model, not a curated record